UCAUCUGUUACCUAUCUCGGCAUAAUUCUCAUAAAAACACACGUGCUCUCCCUGCUGAUUGUGUCCGAUUAAUCUCCCAAACCUCAAUCCCUUACAAAACAACUCCUUUCCUUCCUAGGCAUGGUUAGUGCAGUCAGAAUUCUUACACAAGAGCCAGGACUGCACCCUGUAGCCUUUCUGUCCAAAAGACUUGACUUUACUGUUUAGCCUAGCCCUCAUGUCUGUGUGCAGCGGCUGCCGCUGCUUUAAUACUUUUAGAGGCCCUAAAAAUCACAAACUAUGCUCAACUCACUCUCUACAUUUCUCAUAACUUCCAAAAUCUAUUUUCUUCCUCAUACCUGACGCAUACACUUUCUGCUCCCCGGCUCCUUCAGCUAUACUCACUCUUUGUUAAGUCCCACAAUUACCAUUAUUCCUGGUCCGGACUUCAAUCUGGCCUCCCACAUUAUUCCUGAUACCACACCUGACCCCCAUGACUGUAUCUCUCUGAUCCACCUGACAUUCCCCCCCCC
RNAcentral lists this long non-coding RNA (512 nucleotides) under Homo sapiens (human). RNAcentral's name for it is "HSALNT0293060". The record is from RNAcentral. Lineage: Eukaryota; Metazoa; Chordata; Mammalia; Primates; Hominidae.